UUCACAGUGGCUAAGUUC
RNAcentral lists this non-coding RNA (18 nucleotides) under Oryzias latipes (Japanese medaka). Its record names the gene ola-miR-27d-3p. The record is from miRBase by way of RNAcentral. RNAcentral also lists the same sequence under 3 other names. Lineage: Eukaryota; Metazoa; Chordata; Actinopteri; Beloniformes; Adrianichthyidae.